UACAGAGGGGGCAAGCGUUGUUCGGAAUUACUGGGCGUAAAGGGCGCGUAGGCGGCCCGCUAAGUCGAACGUGAAAUCCCGGGGCUCAACCUGGGAACUGCAUUUGUGACUGCACAGCUUGAGUGCGGCAGAGGGGGAUGGAAUUCCGCGUGUAGCAGUGAAAUGCGUAGAUAUGCGGAGGAACACCGAUGGCGAAGGCAAUCCCCUGGGCCUGCACUGACGCUCAUGCACGAAAGCGUGGGGAGCAAACAGG
This 253-nucleotide ribosomal RNA is filed under the name uncultured bacterium. RNAcentral describes it as "partial 16S ribosomal RNA". It matches the Rfam family "Bacterial small subunit ribosomal RNA", at positions 524 to 776 of the family's 1533-position model. The record is from RNAcentral.